RNAcentral lists this unclassified non-coding RNA (327 nucleotides) under Hevea brasiliensis (rubber tree). Lineage: Eukaryota; Viridiplantae; Streptophyta; Magnoliopsida; Malpighiales; Euphorbiaceae. The record is from RNAcentral.
UUCAGUAAUGCCCACUGUGUUGAUUUUCACAAAAUUUUAGUAUUUUCUUCUUAUCCACAUUCAAUAAUAUUCACAAAAAAUGAAACUACACAAAUUCACCUAAAAAUUGAAAUCAACAACAAAAAAAAAUCAAAUCUUGAAAACCCCCUUUUAGAUAGAAGAGCAAAAAAAUCAAAUCUUGAUUUGCCCCUUUUUGUGUUAUUGUUGUUUUUAGAUAAAAGAGCAAAAAAAAUCAAAUCUUGAAAACCCCCUUUUAGAUAGAAGAGCAAAAAAAUCAAAUCUUGAUUUGCCCCUUUUUGUGUUAUUGUUGUUUUUAGAUAAAAGAGC